AGUGAACGCUGGCGGUAGGCCUAACACAUGCAAGUCGAACGGCAGCACAGUAAGAGCUUGCUCUUACGGGUGGCGAGUGGCGGACGGGUAAGGAAUACAUCGGAAUCUACUUUUUCGUGGGGGAUAACGUAGGGAAACUUACGCUAAUACCGCAUACGACCUACGGGUGAAAGCAGGGGAUCUUCGGACCUUGCGCGAUUGAAUGAGCCGAUGUCGGAUUAGCUAGUUGGCGGGGUAAAGGCCCACCAAGGCGACGAUCCGUAGCUGGUCUGAGAGGAUGAUCAGCCACACUGGAACUGAGACACGGUCCAGACUCCUACGGGAGGCAGCAGUGGGGAAUAUUGGACAAAGGGCGCAAGCCUGAUCCAGCCAUACCGCGUGGGUGAAGAAGGCCUUCGGGUUGUAAAGCCCUUUUGUUGGGAAAGAAAAGCAGCAGGUUAAUACCCCGCUGUUCUGACGGUACCCAAAGAAUAAGCACCGGCUAACUUCGUG
This 492-nucleotide ribosomal RNA is filed under the name uncultured bacterium. RNAcentral describes it as "partial 16S ribosomal RNA". It matches the Rfam family "Bacterial small subunit ribosomal RNA", at positions 29 to 507 of the family's 1533-position model. The record is from RNAcentral.